RNAcentral lists this ribosomal RNA (369 nucleotides) under uncultured soil bacterium. RNAcentral describes it as "bacterial SSU rRNA". It matches the Rfam family "Bacterial small subunit ribosomal RNA", at positions 26 to 394 of the family's 1533-position model. The record is from RNAcentral.
AGAUUGAACGCUGGCGGCAGGCCUAACACAUGCAAGUCGAGCGGUAGAGAGGUGCUUGCAUCUCUUGAGAGCGGCGGACGGGUGAGUAAUGCCUAGGAAUCUGCCUAGUGGUGGGGGAUAACGUUCGGAAACGGACGCUAAUACCGCAUACGUCCUACGGGAGAAAGCGGGGGACCUUCGGGCCUCGCGCCAUUAGAUGAGCCUAGGUCGGAUUAGCUAGUUGGUGAGGUAAUGGCUCACCAAGGCGACGAUCCGUAACUGGUCUGAGAGGAUGAUCAGUCACACUGGAACUGAGACACGGUCCAGACUCCCUACGGGGAGGCAGCAGGUGGGGGAAAUAAUUGGGAACAAGUGGGGACGAAAAGGCCU